UGAGUAACCUGCCCCUGACUCUGGGAUAACCCCGGGAAACCGGAGCUAAUACCGGAUACGACCCACACAGGCAUCUACGUGGGUGGAAAGAUUUAUCGGUCAGGGAUGGGCUCGCGGCCUAUCAGCUUGUUGGUGGGGUAACGGCCCACCAAGGCGACGACGGGUAGCCGGCCUGAGAGGGCGACCGGCCACACUGGGACUGAGACACGGCCCAGACUCCUACGGGAGGCAG
RNAcentral lists this ribosomal RNA (232 nucleotides) under uncultured bacterium. RNAcentral's name for it is "partial 16S ribosomal RNA". It matches the Rfam family "Bacterial small subunit ribosomal RNA", at positions 118 to 351 of the family's 1533-position model. The record is from RNAcentral.